RNAcentral lists this small RNA (129 nucleotides) under Arabidopsis thaliana (thale cress). RNAcentral's name for it is "ATSL085950". The record is from RNAcentral. Lineage: Eukaryota; Viridiplantae; Streptophyta; Magnoliopsida; Brassicales; Brassicaceae.
AUAUUUUCCCGCAAAAAUUUUUUUUUGGCGGGAAAUAGCUUUUCAAGAGAUUUUAAAAGGGUUUUAAAAGAUUUACAAGAGAUUUUAAAAGAGUUUUAAAAUAUUUACGAGGAAUUUUAAAGGCCUUUA